RNAcentral lists this long non-coding RNA (613 nucleotides) under Equus asinus (donkey). Its description in RNAcentral is "lncRNA (ENSEASG00005032303.1)". The record is from RNAcentral. Lineage: Eukaryota; Metazoa; Chordata; Mammalia; Perissodactyla; Equidae.
AUCUGAUGCCCCUUCCUGGAGAGAGACUUCGGUGAGAGACUGGGGGCUUGGAGGUCCAUGCCGGAAAGCACUGGGGAGCUGGCUAGGACACAAGCUCAGGAUGUCUCUGUAGUGGCAAAGUUUGAAAUGGGAAAAGUGAUCCAGCAUCUUAAGAAGCUGAGUCAAAAAGCCAAGCCUCUCACCUAAGCAGUGAUUUUUAAGCAAUUCAAACCAGUUUAAUCAAUCCCCAAAUGAUGGAAAAUCGAUAUUACACCUAUCAGUCAGUUCAGGAAGCCAGAAGUCACUUGACUCCUUCUGCUGUUUUUACAACCCAUAACUCGUAGUACAUAAAGCAGGAGGGAGAGGAGAGACGAUCUGGAGUUUAAUGAGAGAUGAGUGGACUCUAGUUAACGGGUCUUCCAGAGGAAUGAAACGGGACUGGAUGCAAGUUUCAGAAGGACAAUUCUGGCAUUGAUUCCUGGAGGGCACUGGUAUGAGUAUUGAGAAGGCUGUUUUCAUGCCACCCCAAGUCACGAUAUGUGCAGCGCGUUUCAUCCAUCUCUACUCAGAAGUCCCAGAAUUGUGUGUGUAUGAAUCACUUGAAGCCUGUUAUUUUUUGAGUCACUAAGCCAGC